GCCGGGAUAGCUCAGCUGGGAGAGCAACAGACUGAAGUCAGAUCAUUCUGCAUUCUGGAGGUCCCGUGUUCAAUCCACAGUCCUAGCA
This is a non-coding RNA of Amylostereum chailletii, 88 nucleotides long. The record is from the annotation of a GenBank genome assembly. Lineage: Eukaryota; Fungi; Basidiomycota; Agaricomycetes; Russulales; Stereaceae.